Molecule: ribosomal RNA, 1223 nt
Filed under: uncultured organism
Description: bacterial SSU rRNA
Rfam family: Bacterial small subunit ribosomal RNA
Source: RNAcentral
GGUGAGUAACGCGUGGGUAAUCUGCCCUCGAAUCCGGGAUAACAUUGCGAAAGCGAUGCUAAUACCGGACGAAGUUGUCGAGCUUUGGUUCGGUGAUGAAAGGUGGCCUCUACAAGUAAGCUACUGUUCGGGGAUGAGCCCGCGUACCAUUAGCUAGUCGGUAGGGUAACGGCCUACCGAGGCGACGAUGGUUAGCUGGUCUGAGAGGAUGAUCAGCCACACUGGAACUGACACACGGUCCAGACUCCUACGGGAGGCAGCAGUGAGGAAUUUUGCGCAAUGGGGGUAACCCUGACGCAGCAACGCCGCGUGAGUGAUGAAGGCCUUCGGGUCGUAAAGCUCUGUCAAUGGGGAAGAACCUGUGACAUGCCAACAGCAUGUUGCACUGACGGUACCCAUAAAGGAAGCACCGGCUAACUCCGUGCCAGCAGCCGCGGUAACACGGAGGGUGCGAGCGUUAUUCGGAAUUAUUGGGCGUAAAGCGCGCGCAGGCGGUUUACUAAGUCAGAUGUGAAAGCCCGGGGCUCAACCCCGGAAGAGCAUUUGAUACUGGUAGGCUUGAGUAUGGGAGAGGGAAGUGGAAUUCCUGGUGUAGAGGUGAAGUUCGUAGAGAUCAGGAGGAACACCGGUGGCGAAGGCGACUUCCUGGACCAAUACUGACGCUGAGGCGCGAAGGCGUGGGGAGCAAACAGGAUUAGAUACCCUGGUAGUCCACGCAGUAAACGGUGAUCACUAGGUGUAGCGGGUAUUGACUCGUGCUGUGCCGGAGUUAUCGCAUUAAGUGAUCCGCCUGGGGAGUACGGCCGCAAGGUUAAUACUCAAAGGAAUUGACGGGGGCCCGCACAAGCGGUGGAGCAUGUGGUUUAUUUUGACGCAACGCGAAGAACCUUACCGGGGUUUGACAUCCUGGGAAUCCUUUUGAUAAANAGGGAUUGUCCUUCGGGGAGCCUCGGUGACAGGUGCUGCAUGGCGGUUGUCAGCUAGUGUCGUGAGAUGUUGGGUUAAGUCCCGCACCGAGCGCAUCUCCUAUCUUUAGUAGCCAUCAUUUAAUGUUGGGGACUCUAGAGAUACUGCCCCGGUCAACGGGGUGGAAGGUGGGGAUGACGUCAAGUCCUCAUGGCCUUUAUAUCCAGGGCUACACACCUGCUACAAUGGGCUGUAUCAAAGGGAAGCGAUCUCGUGAGUGUGAGCCAAUCCCAAAAAGCAGUUCGUAGUUCGGAUUG